GUAAGGAAUAUUGGACAAUGGACGCAAGUCUGAUCCAGCCAUGCCGCGUGAAGGAUUAAGGUCCUCUGGAUUGUAAACUUCUUUUAUAAGGGACGAAAAAAGGCUUUUCUAAGUCGUCUGACGGUACCUUAUGAAUAAGCACCGGCUAACUCCGUGCCAGCAGCCGCGGUAAUACGGAGGGUGCAAGCGUUAUCCGGAUUCACUGGGUUUAAAGGGUGCGUAGGCGGGCAGGUAAGUCAGUGGUGAAAUCCUAGAGCUUAACUCUAGAACUGCCAUUGAUACUAUCUGGCUUGAAUAUUGUGGAGGUAAGCGGAAUAUGUCAUGUAGCGGUGAAAUGCUUAGAUAUGACAUAGAACACCUAUUGCGAAGGCAGCUUACUACGCAUAUAUUGACGCUGAGGCACGAAAGCGUGGGGAUCAAACAGGAUUAGAAACCCCUGUAGUCC
This 445-nucleotide ribosomal RNA is filed under the name uncultured bacterium. RNAcentral's name for it is "bacterial SSU rRNA". It matches the Rfam family "Bacterial small subunit ribosomal RNA", at positions 354 to 796 of the family's 1533-position model. The record is from RNAcentral.